AUGAACGCUGGCGGCGUGCCUAAUACAUGCCGGUCGAGCGAACAGACGAGGAGCUUGCUCCUUCGACGUUAGCGGCGGACGGGUGAGUAACACGUAGGUAACCUACCUAUAAGACUGGGAUAACUUCGGGAAACCGGAGCUAAUACCGGAUAAUAUUUCGAACCGCAUGGUUCGAUAGUGAAAGAUGGCUUUGCUAUCACUUAUAGAUGGACCUGCGCCGUAUUAGCUAGUUGGUAAGGUAACGGCUUACCAAGGCAACGAUACGUAGCCGACCUGAGAGGGUGAUCGGCCACACUGGAACUGAGACACGGUCCAGACUCCUACGGGAGGCAGCAGUAGGGAAUCUUCCGCAAUGGGCGAAAGCCUGACGGAGCAACGCCGCGUGAGUGAUGAAGGUCUUCGGAUCGUAAAACUCUGUUAUUAGGGAAGAACAAACGUGUAAGUAACUGUGCACGUCUUGACGGUACCUAAUCAGAAAGCCACGGCUAACUACGUG
RNAcentral lists this ribosomal RNA (496 nucleotides) under uncultured bacterium. RNAcentral describes it as "partial 16S ribosomal RNA". It matches the Rfam family "Bacterial small subunit ribosomal RNA", at positions 29 to 507 of the family's 1533-position model. The record is from RNAcentral.